Molecule: ribosomal RNA, 481 nt
Filed under: uncultured bacterium
Lineage: Bacteria
Description: partial 16S ribosomal RNA
Rfam family: Bacterial small subunit ribosomal RNA
Source: RNAcentral
GAUGAACGCUGGCGGCGUGCUUAACACAUGCAAGUCGAACGAAGCACUGUAUUUGAUUUCUUUCUGGUCUGAUUAUUUUGUGGCUGAGUGGCGCACGGAUGAGUAACGCGUGGGUCACCUGUCUUUUACAGGGAGAUAACCUUUUGAAGCGUCUUCUAUUACCGCAUAAGCUUACAACAUCGCAGGAGGCAUUGUUAUAAACUCCGGUUGUAUAAGAUGGACCCUCGUUGGAUUGGCUAGUUGGGGAGGUAACGGCCCACCAAGGCGAAGAGCCAUAGCCGAGAUGAGAGGGUGGCCGGCGACAUUGGGAGUGAGACACGGCCCAAACUCCUCCGGAAGGGAGGAGUGGGGAAUAUUGCAAAAUCGGCGAAAGGAUGAUGCAGCGACGAUGCGUGAGCGCAGAAGUAAGGCGGUAAGUAAAGCUCUAGCAGCAGGGAAGAUAAUGACGGUACCUGACUAGGAAGCAACGGCUAAAUACGUG